CAUCCGAUUCAGGGGUGCCCUCAGGGCUGAGAUCAUACCCUUCGAACCUGAUGCAGUUUAUACUGCCGUAGGGAGAAUGCAUGACACCGAG
This 91-nucleotide non-coding RNA is filed under the name Leptonema illini. RNAcentral's name for it is "TPP sequence". It matches the Rfam family "TPP riboswitch aptamer (THI element)". From Rfam's summary of the family: Vitamin B(1) in its active form thiamin pyrophosphate (TPP) is an essential coenzyme that is synthesised by coupling of pyrimidine and thiazole moieties in bacteria. The previously detected thiamin-regulatory element, thi box was extended, resulting in a new, highly conserved RNA secondary structure, the THI element, which is widely distributed in eubacteria and also occurs in some archaea. RNAcentral also lists the same sequence under 1 other name. The record is from RNAcentral. Lineage: Bacteria; Pseudomonadati; Spirochaetota; Leptospiria; Leptospirales; Leptospiraceae.